GGGCCAAUACGAAAGCCUCAGCUCAUCUUGAAGAGACAGAAAGACACAAAAAUCAUGCUUAAUAGGAUUCUACUGAGGCUA
This 81-nucleotide small nucleolar RNA is filed under the name Procavia capensis (Cape rock hyrax). RNAcentral's name for it is "Small nucleolar RNA SNORD115 (ENSPCAG00000019291.1)". It matches the Rfam family "Small nucleolar RNA SNORD115". From Rfam's summary of the family: HBII-52 is a member of the C/D class of snoRNAs, which contain the C (UGAUGA) and D (CUGA) box motifs. The record is from RNAcentral. Lineage: Eukaryota; Metazoa; Chordata; Mammalia; Hyracoidea; Procaviidae.